AUUGAACGCUGGCGGCAGGCCUAACACAUGCAAGUCGAGCGGACGAAGGGAGCUCGCUCCUGGAUUCAGCGGCCGACGGGUGAGUAAUGCCUAGGAAUCUGCCUGGUCGUGGGGGAUAACGUCCGGACACGGGCGCUAAUAUCGCACACGUUCUGAGGGUGAAAGUGGGGGUUCUUCGGACAUCACGCUAUCAGAUGAGCCUAGGUCGUAUUAGCUAGUUGGUGGGGUAAAGGCCUACCAAGGCGACGAUCCGUAACUGGUCUGAGAGGAUGAUCCGUCACACUGGAACUGAGACACGGUCCAGACUCCUACGGGAGGCAGCAGUGGGGAAUAUUGGACAAUGGGCGAAAGCCUGAUCCAGCCAUGCCGCGUGUGUGAAGAAGGUCUUCGGAUUGUAAAGCACUUUAAGUAGGGAAGAAGAACAGUGAGUGAAUACCUUGCUAUUUUGACGUUACCAACAGAGUAAGCACCGGCUAACUUCGUG
RNAcentral lists this ribosomal RNA (484 nucleotides) under uncultured bacterium. Its description in RNAcentral is "partial 16S ribosomal RNA". It matches the Rfam family "Bacterial small subunit ribosomal RNA", at positions 30 to 507 of the family's 1533-position model. The record is from RNAcentral.